This 1017-nucleotide ribosomal RNA is filed under the name Lacticaseibacillus rhamnosus. RNAcentral describes it as "bacterial SSU rRNA". It matches the Rfam family "Bacterial small subunit ribosomal RNA", at positions 464 to 1478 of the family's 1533-position model. The record is from RNAcentral. Lineage: Bacteria; Bacillati; Bacillota; Bacilli; Lactobacillales; Lactobacillaceae.
UCGGCGUGACGGUAUCCAAUCAGAAAGCCACGGCUAACUACGUGCCAGCAGCCGCGGUAAUACGUAGGUGGCAGGCGUAAUCCGGAUUUAUUGGGGGUAAGGCGAGCGCAGGCGGGUUUUUAAGUCUGAUGUGAAAGCCCUCGGCUUACCCGAGGAAGUGCAUCGGGAACUGGGAAACUUGAGUGCAGAAGAGGACAGUGGAACUUCCAUGUGUAGCGGUGAAAUGCGUAGAUAUAUGGAAGAACACCAGUGGCGAAGGCGGCUGUCUGGUCUGUAACUGACGCUGAGGCUCGAAAGCAUGGGUAGCGAACAGGAUUAGAUACCCUGGUAGUCCAUGCCGUAAACGAUGAAUGCUAGGUGUUGGAGGGUUUCCGCCCUUCAGUGCCGCAGCUAACGCAUUAAGCAUUCCGCCUGGGGAGUACGACCGCAAGGUUGAAACUCAAAGGAAUUGACGGGGGCCCGCACAAGCGGUGGAGCAUGUGGUUUAAUUCGAAGCAACGCGAGAACCUUACCAGGUCUUGACAUCUUUUGAUCACCUGAGAGAUCAGGUUUCCCCUUCGGGGGCAAAAUGACAGGUGGUGCAUGGUUGUCGUCAGCUCGUGUCGUGAGAUGUUGGGUUAAGUCCCGCAACGAGCGCAACCCUUAUGACUAGUUGCCAGCAUUUAGUUGGGCACUCUAGUAAGACUGCCGGUGACAAACCGGAGGAAGGUGGGGAUGACGUCAAAUCAUCAUGCCCCUUAUGACCUGGGCUACACACGUGCUACAAUGGAUGGUACAACGAGUUGCGAGACCGCGAGGUCAAGCUAAUCUCUUAAAGCCAUUCUCAGUUCGGACUGUAGGCUGCAACUCGCCUACACGAAGUCGGAAUCGCUAGUAAUCGCGGAUCAGCACGCCGCGGUGAAUACGUUCCCGGGCCUUGUACACACCGCCCGUCACACCAUGAGAGUUUGUAACACCCGAAGCCGGUGGCGUAACCCUUUUAGGGAGCGAGCCGUCUAAGGGUGGACAAAUGAUUAG